UACGGAGGGAGCUAGCGUUGUUCGGAAUUACUGGGCGUAAAGCGUACGUAGGCGGCCUAUCAAGUCAGAGGUGAAAGCCCAGGGCUCAACCCUGGAAUUGCCUUUGAAACUAGUAGGCUUGAAGAUGGGAGAGGUGAGUGGAAUUCCGAGUGUAGAGGUGAAAUUCGUAGAUAUUCGGAAGAACACCAGUGGCGAAGGCGGCUCACUGGACCAUUCUUGACGCUGAGGUACGAAAGCGUGGGGAGCAAACAGG
RNAcentral lists this ribosomal RNA (253 nucleotides) under uncultured bacterium. Its description in RNAcentral is "partial 16S ribosomal RNA". It matches the Rfam family "Bacterial small subunit ribosomal RNA", at positions 524 to 776 of the family's 1533-position model. The record is from RNAcentral.